This 2814-nucleotide ribosomal RNA is filed under the name Triticum aestivum (bread wheat). RNAcentral describes it as "partial small subunit ribosomal RNA". The record is from RNAcentral. Lineage: Eukaryota; Viridiplantae; Streptophyta; Magnoliopsida; Poales; Poaceae.
AUGGGCAGGGCCAAGAACAUAGAUGAUGCCGAUUUGCAAGAGGUGCUUGCUCUGCGCGAGGAAUUCGGCGUCUUACAGCAGGAGAGUGCCUUGAUGCGCACUGAGGUAGCCAAGCUCCAUCAAGACGUGCAGUCCAUCAGUUCCAAACAAGGUGAUAUCUCUCUGCAAGUAGGUACAGUGGAAAAAGCUGUGUUAGAUCUCAGUAAGCAAUUAUCAGCAAUUAGUUCAGCGUUCAAGACACUGGUGCCUCCCACUAAUCAGGGGCAAACUAUUGAUAUCCCUUCUAGUUCUACACAGUUGGUGAAAUCUCCUACACUGCAUGGAGCAACUACUCAUUUACAGCCUGACAGAACUGAACAAUUACGGAAACAGCUAGAGGAAGAGAAGGAAAAGACUAGGUUGGCUGAGGAAUUGCACUUGCAAAAUUUGACACCUAUUCGCACUAACAGACCCAAUGUUCCACCUGGAUUUGCUCAAUCAAAAAGAAUGGAUGCCACUAGUCAAGUGGGCACUCCUCUAUCCCAAAGAGAUCCAGGUCACACCCCUGCAUUUCAACAGUUUCAGAACAGGGAGAGGCAACUAUGGCAAGGAUAUUACAGAACAUAUGAGCAGGACAUGCAGGUCCAAUUCAUGAAGGCUAUGACAAAAGGUCCUAAACUGGAAUUUCCUAAAUUCUUUGGAGAGGAUCCUGUGGGAUGGUUGAGACAAUGUAACAAAUACUUUCAAAUGUCUGGUGCUCCUGAAGAAUACAAAGUAUCCUUAGCACAGAUGUAUAUAAGUGGAGAUGCUGAUAUUUGGUUAAGAAGGCCUGGUCUGCUUAAAAAGCAUUUGACAUGGAAAGAAUUUGGCAAAGAAAUUGUGAAGAGAUUCUCUCAACAGGGCACUUAUGAUCUGACAGAAAAGUUCAAUAAUCUGAAACAAAACAACAACACUGUAUCUGACUAUACCAUGCAGUUUGAGGACCUAAUGGCUGAUAUGCAAGAUGAAAAUCCAGAAUUAAAUGAACUCUGGUUUGUCAGGUGUUAUGUGAACGGCAUGAGAGAGGGCAUUAAGUAUCAGAUAAGACUACUGAGACCCCAAACUAUCACUGAUGCCUAUUGCUUGGCAAGGGACAUUGAACCUUGUCACCCACCUGUGUCUGUUAAUCAAAAAAAGGCAUUUGUGCCUUAUAACAGCUACUAUCAGAAGAACACAAGUGCCAGCUUAUCUAAACAGCUACACACUCCUGUGUUACCUCAGGCUCCAACUGGCACUAAAUCUGCAGACAAUGUCAACAAUACUGCUCAGAGGAUAAGAAAAGCUGGUGAAUGCUGGAGAUGUGGCGACAAAUGGGUACAUGGGCAUAAAUGCACUCUUAUUCCUAAUGUGCAUCUCAUGCAACAAGAGGUGGAAGAUACUGGCCCACUAGAACAAGAAGAGCCACAUCCAGAACAAUCAGAAAAUAUAGAGGAGCAACAUGAACAAGCAAUGUUUAUCUCUGCUUAUGCCCUGGGUCAUCAGUCAACGGUGCAAACCCCAACAAUAAUUAUAUCUGUUAAUGGUAAGAGAGCUGUAGCUCUACUAGACUUUGGAAGUUCCUCCUCUUUCAUGAAUGAAAAGUUUGCAAUUAAAUCAAACUGUCAUAUGCUGCCCAGAAAACCUAGAGCAAUUUCUGUUGCGGGUGGAGGUACACUAAUAUCUGCAGCUGUAGUACCAAAUUGCCCUUUCCAGAUUGCUAAACUAGGAAUGCAACACUCUUUCAGAGUUCUGGAUUUACCUAGCCAUGACAUUAUUCUUGGUUAUGACUGGUUCACCCUUGUCAGCCCAGUCACUUUUGAUGUUCCUAGGCAUCAGUUCAGUUUUACAGUGGAAGGACAGACUAAAGUCACAGCAGCUAUCUUCAAUACUAAUGAAGAAGUGAAAGAAAUGCAGGCGAAGAAACUCCCAAAUAUGUUGGACAAAGGAGUGCAAGGAUUUCUUAUACAAUUGAACAGCAUUAUAAUGGAAGCUCCUGCCAAUCACUGCAUUCCAGCUGCAGUCCAACAAUUGUUGGAAGAAUACAAGGAUGUAUUCCAGGAGCCUACAAAGUUACCUCCUAGUAGAGCUUUGGACCACACAAUUCCUUUGAUGCCAGGAGUGGAACCCCCUCACUCCAGACCUUAUAGAGUGCCCCAUCACCAGAAGGACGAAAUGGAAAAACAGAUUCAGCAUUUGUUGGACAACAAAUUAAUCAGACCUAGCCAGAGCCCUUAUGCUGCCCCUGUGCUUCUAGUGAAGAAAAAGGACAGCACUAUGAGACUGUGCACAGAUUUCAGAAAAUUGAAUUCAGUCACAAUCAAAAAUAAAUUCCCAAUUCCGGCGAUUGAGGAUUUAUUGGAUGAACUGCAUGGAGCUAAAGUAUUCUCUAAAUUGGAUCUAAGGUCUGGUUACCACCAAAUCAGAAUGAAUUCUAAAGACGUACACAAAACUGCUUUUCGAACAUUCUUGGGUCACUAUGAAUAUUUGGUCAUGCCUUUUGGCUUAUCCAACGCACCUGGCACUUUUCAAGCUCUCAUGAAUUUUCUCUUUGCACACUACAAUAGAAAGUUUGUGUUAGUGUUCUUUGAUGACAUACUCAUUUUUAGUAAAACAUUAGAGGAGCAUGUGGAUCAUUUAGCACAAGUGCUCAAAAUUCUCAGAGAAAAUGAACUAUACGCUAAGUUGUCCAAAUGUGUGUUUGCUGUUGAUAAAGUGCAGUAUUUGGGACAUGUGGUUUCUGGAGAAGGUGUUGCUACAGAGCCUGAAAAGAUCACUGCUAUAUCUCAGUGGCUACUCCUACUGAUGCAACUAAGCUGA